CAAGUCCAGAGCCAUUUUCAAAUGUCAUCCCUUUCUAGUUAUGGCAAAUAAGAAACCAAGAAACACAACAGGAUUUUGAACUGAAUCAAAGAGUUUUACAAGACUCAAGAUGUUGGCUGGUAGAAAUCCAAGUCAAAAAUGGCGAGUCACAAUAUCUUGUAAGUAUAGUUCAGUGUCUGAUAAAAAUGACCUCAGUUUUUGGUCAAUUUGAAAUAUGUCAUUUAAGGAGAAACUAAAGUAAGAAGAGGAGAGCAUCAGACCUUGGAACAGUAGUAAUCUGCUAGACUCAUUUUAUUCAGCUUUGGGCUUAGGAAAAAUGCACUUCGAUAGUUGUCUAAGGACAAGGCAGAUCUAAUCCCUCUGUAAUGAUUGUGAUGUGGGAAGUUAUUUAGCAAUUGUGUUUCAGUGAUGUUUAAAGGGCACCAAAAGGGAAUAUGACUUUGGAGAGCUAAUGACCAGCAACCCCAAAUGGCUGACCUUAGCUCUUCUUUCUCCAAUGAUAAGUCCUCUAGGCAAGAAAAAAAAAGAAGAUAAGGGAAAGACAAAGGAAGGAAAUGGAAGGAAAGGACAAAGAAGGAAAGUCUACUCUGAAUCUUGACAUGUCAGCUUGAUUCUAGAAGUGCGUUUACCUGGAGGACUUACCCACAACUUUAACCUUGAUGCUUGCAUGUGCCUCUCCAGCUUCGUUUUUCAGAUUGAUGUGGUAAACACCAGAGUCAUCUCUUUCAGCUAUAUCAAUGACCAGAGUGCUGCUAUCAGG
RNAcentral lists this long non-coding RNA (760 nucleotides) under Homo sapiens (human). Its description in RNAcentral is "HSALNT0370103". Lineage: Eukaryota; Metazoa; Chordata; Mammalia; Primates; Hominidae. The record is from RNAcentral.